This 872-nucleotide long non-coding RNA is filed under the name Cricetulus griseus (Chinese hamster). Its description in RNAcentral is "lncRNA (ENSCGRG00015040269.1)". Lineage: Eukaryota; Metazoa; Chordata; Mammalia; Rodentia; Cricetidae. The record is from RNAcentral.
CACGAAUUGUCGUGGUCAUGGUGUUGAAAGGUUCAGGCUUUGACGCUGAUGGCUCUACCUCCUUAAGAGACAGACCCACCCCCUGACACAGUCGGGGCAGGCACAGGAAAACUUGCUAAGUCAUCGCAGGACACCCGCCAUGCAUUACACCUGCUGAAGACUCUGGGCAUGCGUAGAACCUCAGUGCACAGGAACAUCUUCCUGGCCAUUCGCCUGAUUCGGGUGGCACUGUUAAUCCUCAGCAGAAAACAAUCCUAAGGAGGUUCUGUGUUCCUGCCUCAUUGACAGGUGGCCAUGAUGUUACUGCUCAAUCCUGACAAGAAGGUUCCUGGUAUCUAAGACGUAGGACUCGUUUGCAGGGAGAAGACGGCUGUCCUUAGAGGCAACAUUUACUUUUAGCAGCUUUAGGCCUGGCACAGGAAGCAGUCAGAUGAGUUGGACUCUCACAUCUGCCUCCUUCUGCAAAUUCAUCCAGUGCUCCAGUUUAGGAUGCAAAUGCAGGGAAUGGUGCCAUCCAUUUUUCUUCCCACAUCAAUUAAGAUCCUCGUUUGGUUUCCAGGCUCAGACCCUCUUGGUGGCCAAGCUAGAACCUGGAGAUCGGUCCCCUUACCUUCCCAGUCUCUUCCACCUCUGAUCAGCCAGUGAGGUAAACACCAUGCUAAGCUAUGAUCUCCUGCAGCUGAUGGUUCCUGAUUCAUCUUACCAUCGUGAAAUUUCAUUCCCUAGCUGGCCUGAAAUCCUCAGAAAUCUACCUGCCUCAGCCUCCUGAGUGCUGGGAUUAAAGGCGUGGGGGUGGACUUUGAGGUCUCCUAUGCUCAAGCUACUCUCAGCGAGACAGACCACUUCCUGUUGUCUGACUAUCAAGAUAAAGG